This 864-nucleotide ribosomal RNA is filed under the name human gut metagenome. RNAcentral's name for it is "bacterial SSU rRNA". It matches the Rfam family "Archaeal small subunit ribosomal RNA", at positions 601 to 1467 of the family's 1478-position model. The record is from RNAcentral.
GGGAGAGGUCAGAGGUACUUCUGGGGUAGGGGUAAAAUCCUGUAAUCCUGGAAGGACCACCGGUGGCGAAGGCGUCUGACUAGAACGGAUCCGACGGUGAGGGACGAAGCCCUGGGGCGCAAACGGGAUUAGAUACCCCGGUAGUCCAGGGUGUAAACGCUGCGGGCUUGGUGUUGGGGGUCCUUAGUGGGCGCCCAGUGCCGGAGAGAAGUUGUUAAGCCUGCUGCUUGGGGAGUAUGUCCGCAAGGAUGAAACUUAAAGGAAUUGGCGGGGGAGCACCGCAACGGGAGGAGCGUGCGGUUCAAUUGGAUUCAACGCCGAAAAACUCACCAGGAGCGACGGAUAUAUGAAGGUCAAGCCGAUGACUUUACCUGAUUUUCCGAGAGGUGGUGCAUGGCCGUCGUCAGUUCGUACCGUAAGGCGUUCUCUUAAGUGAGAUAACGAACGAGACCCUCACCAUUAAUUGCUAAUCCUUUCUCCGGAGGGGAUGCACAUUAAUGGGACCGCUGGCGCUAAGUCAGAGGAAGGAGAGGUCAACGGUAGGUCCGUAUGCCCCGAAUCUCCUGGGCAACACGCGCGCUACAAAGGACGGGACAAUGGGCUUCAACACCGAAAGGUGAAGACAAUCCUGAAACCCGUCCAUAGUUCGGAUUGGGGGCUGUAACUCGCCCCCAUGAAGCUGGAUUCCGUAGUAAUCGCUUGUCAACAUCAAGCGGUGAAUAUGCCCCUGCUCCUUGCACACACCGCCCGUCAAACCACCCGAGUUGGGUUUCAGUGAGGAUGUUUCUAAUUGGGGCUUUCGAACUGAGAUUCAGCAAGGAGGGUUAAGUCGUAACAAGGUAUCUGUAGGGGAACCUGCAGAUG